This 245-nucleotide long non-coding RNA is filed under the name Diabrotica virgifera virgifera (western corn rootworm). Its description in RNAcentral is "uncharacterized LOC126883447". Lineage: Eukaryota; Metazoa; Arthropoda; Insecta; Coleoptera; Chrysomelidae. The record is from RNAcentral.
CGACCGUUCUGGGCUCCAUAACCAGCCAAGCGAAGUGAGCGAGGCAGGCCGACCUGAGUCGCGACGUGCACUGUUUUGAGGUGAUUCGUAAACUUAGGCAGGCCAACUCGAGACGAGACGCAAGGUGUACCGAAGUGAGACGCCCAUCCGGAGGAGGACUUCGCUGGGACGAAAUAGAAUAUUAAAUUAUUAUUUUGCCUUAUAUUGUACAUAAUUUAGAAUUAAUAGAUUUGCUUUGCUUUCAA